Molecule: ribosomal RNA, 262 nt
Filed under: uncultured archaeon
Lineage: Archaea
Description: partial 16S ribosomal RNA
Rfam family: Archaeal small subunit ribosomal RNA
Source: RNAcentral
UAGCCGUAAACGAUACUCGCUAGGUGUCGGCCACGGUGCGACCGUUGUCGGUGCCGUAGGGAAGCCGUGAAGCGAGCCACCUGGGAAGUACGGCCGCAAGGCUGAAACUUAAAGGAAUUGGCGGGGGAGCACCACAACGGGUGGAGCUUGCGGUUUAAUUUGGAUUCAACGCCGGAAAUCUUACCGGGACCGACAGCAACAUGAAGGCCAGGCUGAAGACUUUGCCGGAUUAGCUGAGAGGAGGUGCAUGGCGUAGUCGUGU